AGGACGAACGCUGGCGGCGUGCUUAACACAUGCAAGUCGAGCGGUAAGGCCUUUCGGGGUACACGAGCGGCGAACGGGUGAGUAACACGUGGGUGAUCUGCCCUGCACUCUGGGAUAAGCCUGGGAAACUGGGUCUAAUACCGGAUAUGACCUGCUCUCGCAGUGGGGGUGGGUGGAAAGAUUUAUCGGUG
Molecule: ribosomal RNA, 191 nt
Filed under: uncultured soil bacterium
Lineage: Bacteria
Description: partial 16S ribosomal RNA
Rfam family: Bacterial small subunit ribosomal RNA
Source: RNAcentral